UAUAAGUGGUGGCGACCGGCGCACGGGUGAGUAACACGUAUCCAACCUGCCGAUAACUCGGGGAUAGCCUUUCGAAAGAAAGAUUAAUACCCGAUGGUAUAAUAAAAGCCGCAUGGUUUAAUUAUUUAAAGAAUUUCGGUUAUCGAUGGGGAUGCGUUCCAUUAGGCAGUUGGUGAGGUAACGGCUCACCAAACCUUCGAUGGAUAGGGGUUCUGAGAGGAAGGUCCCCCACAUUGGAACUGAGACACGGUCCAA
This 255-nucleotide ribosomal RNA is filed under the name uncultured bacterium. Its description in RNAcentral is "partial 16S ribosomal RNA". It matches the Rfam family "Bacterial small subunit ribosomal RNA", at positions 80 to 334 of the family's 1533-position model. The record is from RNAcentral.